CCCAGAGUUUGAUUCAUGGUUCAGGGACGAACGCUGGCGGCGUGCCUAAUACAUGCAAGUCGAGCGGGACAGAUGGGAGCUUGCUCCCUGAUGUUAGCGGCGGACGGGUGAGUAACACGUGGGUAACCUGCCUGUAAGACUGGGAUAACUCCGGGAAACCGGGGCUAAUACCGGAUGGUUGUUUGAACCGCAUGGUUCAAACAUAAAAGGUGGCUUCGGCUACCACUUACAGAUGGACCCGCGGCGCAUUAGCUAGUUGGUGAGGUAAUGGCUCACCAAGGCAACGAUGCGUAGCCGACCUGAGAGGGUGAUCGGCCACACUGGGACUGAGACACGGCCCAGACUCCUACGGGAGGCAGCAGUAGGGAAUCUUCCGCAAUGGACGAAAGUCUGACGGAGCAACGCCGCGUGAGUGAUGAAGGUUUUCGGAUCGUAAAGCUCUGUUGUUAGGGAAGAACAAGUACCGUUCGAAUAGGGCGGUACCUUGACGGUACCUAACCAGAAAGCCACGGCUAACUACGUGCCAGCAGCCGCGGUAAUACGUAGGUGGCAAGCGUUGUCCGGAAUUAUUGGGCGUAAAGGGCUCGCAGGCGGUUUCUUAAGUCUGAUGUGAAAGCCCCCGGCUCAACCGGGGAGGGUCAUUGGAAACUGGGGAACUUGAGUGCAGAAGAGGAGAGUGGAAUUCCACGUGUAGCGGUGAAAUGCGUAGAGAUGUGGAGGAACACCAGUGGCGAAGGCGACUCUCUGGUCUGUAACUGACGCUGAGGAGCGAAAGCGUGGGGAGCGAACAGGAUUAGAUACCCUGGUAGUCCACGCCGUAAACGAUGAGUGCUAAGUGUUAGGGGGUUUCUCGCCCCUUAGUGCUGCAGCUAACGCAUUAAGCAACUCCGUCCCUCGGGGAG
Molecule: ribosomal RNA, 902 nt
Filed under: Bacillus sp. (in: firmicutes)
Lineage: Bacteria; Bacillati; Bacillota; Bacilli; Caryophanales; Bacillaceae
Description: bacterial SSU rRNA
Rfam family: Bacterial small subunit ribosomal RNA
Source: RNAcentral